AAUCAACGCUGGCGGCGUGCCUCAGACAUGCAAGUCGAACGAGAAAUCCCGAGCAAUCGGGAAAGUAAAGUGGCGCACGGGUGAGUAACACGUAGGUAAUCUACCUUCGGGUGGGGAAUAACCCAGGGAAACUUGGGCUAACACCGCAUAAUGCAGCGGCACCACAUGGUGACAGUUGUUAAAGCGGGGGAUUUUAGGACCUCGCGCCUGAAGAGGAGCCUGCGGCGGAUUAGCAGUUGGUAAGGUAACGGCUUACCAAGGCGACGAUCCGUAGCCGGCCUGAGAGGGCGGUCGGCCACACUGACACUGACAUACGGGUCAGACUCCUACGGGAGGCAGCAGUCGGGAAUUUGGGCAAUGGGCGAAAGCCUGACCCAGC
Molecule: ribosomal RNA, 379 nt
Filed under: uncultured bacterium
Lineage: Bacteria
Description: bacterial SSU rRNA
Rfam family: Bacterial small subunit ribosomal RNA
Source: RNAcentral